Molecule: ribosomal RNA, 628 nt
Filed under: Cladonia cyathomorpha
Lineage: Eukaryota; Fungi; Ascomycota; Lecanoromycetes; Lecanorales; Cladoniaceae
Description: eukaryotic LSU rRNA
Rfam family: 5.8S ribosomal RNA (bases 249-402)
Source: RNAcentral
AUGAGGUCGGGGAGGCCCGCCCCCGUGGCGGCGGGUGUCGUAUCGAGUCCAUUCGGGCUUUGAGCCGGCAUUCGUCCGUUAUUCUCAACCCCAUGUUUACUAUACCUUUGUUGCUUUGGCGGGCCUUGAGUAGGCUAUACGGCUCAUGCUGGCCCCAGGCUUCAUUGCCUGGGGGCGGCUCGCGCCCGCCAGAGGUUUUAUUCAAAUCCUAAUUAUCAGUGAUGUCUGAGCAAAUAUCAAAUAAUCAAAACUUUCAACAACGGAUCUCUUGGUUCUGGCAUCGAUGAAGAACGCAGCGAAAUGCGAUAAGUAAUGUGAAUUGCAGAAUUUAGUGAAUCAUCGAAUCUUUGAACGCACAUUGCGCCCCUCGGUAUUCCGGGGGGCAUGCCUGUUCGAGCGUCAUUACACCCCUCAAGCGUAGCUUGGUAUUGGACUUUCGCGGGCCCUUUUACCAGGGCUCGCGGGUUCGAAAAGCAGUGGCGGUCCCCGAGGAUUUCGCGCGUAGUAAAUUUUAUCCCGCGUUGGAAAGAAUCGAUGGGUCUUGCCAAAACCCCCUAAUCUCCAUAAAUUGACCUCGGAUCAGGUAGGGAUACCCGCUGAACUUAAGCAUAUCAAUAAGGCGGAGGAA